This 433-nucleotide ribosomal RNA is filed under the name uncultured bacterium. RNAcentral describes it as "partial 16S ribosomal RNA". It matches the Rfam family "Bacterial small subunit ribosomal RNA", at positions 29 to 507 of the family's 1533-position model. The record is from RNAcentral.
AACGAACGCUGGCGGCAGGCCUAACACAUGCAAGUCGAGCGAGGACUUCGGUUCUAGCGGCGGACGGGCGAGUAACGCGUGGGAAUGUGCCCUUCUCUACGGAAUAGCCCUGGGAAACUGGGAGUAAUACCGUAUACGCCCUAUUGGGGAAAGAUUUAUCGGAGAAGGAUCAGCCCGCGUUGGAUUAGGUAGUUGGUGGGGUAAUGGCCUACCAAGCCGACGAUCCAUAGCUGGUUUGAGAGGAUGAUCAGCCACACUGGGACUGAGACACGGCCCAGACUCCUACGGGAGGCAGCAGUGGGGAAUCUUAGACAAUGGGGGCAACCCUGAUCGAGCCAUGCCGCGUGAGUGAUGAAGGCCUUAGGGUUGUAAAGCUCUUUCAGCUGGGAAGAUAAUGACGGUACCAGCAGAAGAAGCCCCGGCUAACUCCGUG